UCUGCUAGGGGUGCGAAAGCUGAGAAUGCGGGAGAGAUUCCGCAGACCCUCAAUACCUGAUCUGGUUAAUGCCAGCGUAGGGAAGCAU
RNAcentral lists this non-coding RNA (88 nucleotides) under bovine gut metagenome. Its description in RNAcentral is "TPP riboswitch (THI element)". It matches the Rfam family "TPP riboswitch aptamer (THI element)", at positions 7 to 92 of the family's 105-position model. Rfam says of the family: Vitamin B(1) in its active form thiamin pyrophosphate (TPP) is an essential coenzyme that is synthesised by coupling of pyrimidine and thiazole moieties in bacteria. The previously detected thiamin-regulatory element, thi box was extended, resulting in a new, highly conserved RNA secondary structure, the THI element, which is widely distributed in eubacteria and also occurs in some archaea. Analysis of operon structures identified a large number of new candidate thiamin-regulated genes, mostly transporters, in various prokaryotic organisms. The record is from RNAcentral.